UCGAAACCUGCCCAGCAGAACGACCCGCGAACGUGUUCAUGCAUUGCGUGGGAAGGGGUUGCUGGUUCUCCGGUCCCUUUCCCAGCGCCGGGGGUCCAUCCCUCCGGGGUGCUCCCUGGCACAGUCACGAACCCCGGCGCGUAUGCGCCAAGGAAUAUAAACACGAGCGUGCCCAUCCUUGCCCGGGCCUCCGGUGCAGGGAUGUGGCACCCGAUCCAAGUCGUAGAAGACGACUCUCGGCAACGGAUAUCUCGGCUCUCGCAUCGAUGAAGAACGUAGCGAAAUGCGAUACUUGGUGUGAAUUGCAGAAUCCCGCGAACCAUCGAGUUUUUGAACGCAAGUUGCGCCCGAAGCCUUCCGGCCAGGGCACGUCUGCCUGGGCGUCACCCAUAGCGUCUCCCCCAACCCACCAAGCGUGGGAGGGAGAGGAGGACGGCCUCCCAUGCCCCACCGGGCAUGGAUGGCCUAAAUAAGGAGCCCCCGGACACGAGAUGCCGCGGCGACAGGUGGUCAACCAGGCGUUUGCCUAGGAGGCAUCGCGCCCGGCAUCCCGUAGCCUAUGUGGGGCUCGAAGGACCCUUACCGACCCUUGCGACCCCAGGUCAGGCGGGGUUACCCG
This 619-nucleotide ribosomal RNA is filed under the name Ptilotus symonii. Its description in RNAcentral is "eukaryotic LSU rRNA". The stretch from base 232 to 386 matches the Rfam family "5.8S ribosomal RNA". The record is from RNAcentral. Lineage: Eukaryota; Viridiplantae; Streptophyta; Magnoliopsida; Caryophyllales; Amaranthaceae.